UACGGGGGGGGCAAGCGUUGUUCGGAAUUACUGGGCGUAAAGGGCUCGUAGGCGGCCAACUAAGUCAGACGUGAAAUCCCUCGGCUUAACCGGGGAACUGCGUCUGAUACUGGAUGGCUUGAGUGUGGGAGAGGGAUGCGGAAUUCCAGGUGUAGCGGUGAAAUGCGUAGAUAUCUGGAGGAACACCGGUGGCGAAGGCGGCAUCCUGGACCAUGACUGACACUGAAAAGCGAAAGCCAGGGGAGCAAACGGG
RNAcentral lists this ribosomal RNA (253 nucleotides) under uncultured bacterium. Its description in RNAcentral is "partial 16S ribosomal RNA". It matches the Rfam family "Bacterial small subunit ribosomal RNA", at positions 524 to 776 of the family's 1533-position model. The record is from RNAcentral.